This 228-nucleotide long non-coding RNA is filed under the name Pelobates cultripes (western spadefoot toad). The record is from RNAcentral. Lineage: Eukaryota; Metazoa; Chordata; Amphibia; Anura; Pelobatidae.
GGCCACACCAUGACUUUCUCUCCUUUUAUCCCCAUAGCAGCCAUUGAUGCAGAGGUAAUCUUUGCAGCAUGAAAUGGUGCAUUGUCAUGCAUGAAGAUUUUACUACGUAAAGCAUAGUUCUUCCUUCUGUAUCAGGGAAGAAAGUCGUCAGUCACAAACUCCACAUUCUUUGCAGAGGUAAUCUUUACACCUUCAGGGACCCUAAAGGGGCCGACCAGCUCUCUUCCC